GCAACGAGCGCAACCCUUGUCAUUAGUUGCUACGAAAGGGCACUCUAAUGAGACUGCCGGUGACAAACCGGAGGAAGUGGGGAUGACGUCAAGUCCUCAUGGCCCUUAUAGGUGGGGCUACACACGUCAUACAAUGGCUGGUACAAAGGGUUGCCAACCCGCGAGGGGGAGCCAAUCCCAUAAAGCCAGUCGUAGUCCGGAUCGCAGUCUGCAACUCGACUGCGUGAAGUCGGAAUCGCUAGUAAUCGUGGAUCAGCAUGUCACGGUGAAUACGUUCCCGGGUCUU
This 286-nucleotide ribosomal RNA is filed under the name uncultured Comamonas sp. RNAcentral's name for it is "partial 16S ribosomal RNA". It matches the Rfam family "Bacterial small subunit ribosomal RNA", at positions 1089 to 1382 of the family's 1533-position model. Lineage: Bacteria; Pseudomonadati; Pseudomonadota; Betaproteobacteria; Burkholderiales; Comamonadaceae. The record is from RNAcentral.